AUUAAGGAAAUUUCUCUAUUAAUUUUUCUAAUUCUUGAAUUUGUUUAUUCAUCUUAUCGUCUAUGUCCUUCCUCUUCUACCCUGAUUGAUUUUAGUUUCUUAAAUUCGUGGGCUUUACGUUUCUUAAAUUUGUGGGCUGUGGGCUUUACAGGAAAAUUAAGAAAUGAUGUGGGUGCAGGUUGUGCAAAUGGUGGGUGGUGGGAAGGUUUUGGAUCGGGAUCCCGUUUGCAUUCACUGUUUUCAUUGCCGUUUUCAUCAUGUUAACUUUCAGGAGUGGAAGAUCUUGUAACUAUAAACUUUGUUGAUUUUAAUUAUCAUUUUCUACACUUGUUGCUGCGAAGAGGAUGUCUAUUGGGCCGUUUUUCAUUAUGUUAACCUUCUGGAGUGGGAGAUCUUGUAACUAUAAACUGUAUGAGUUAUAGGCUUUGACAAGACUUGACUUUGUUGAUUUCAAUGAUCUUUUUUUGCAUAGUUGACUUUGUUGAUUUUAAUUAUCAUUUUCUAUACGUGUUGCUGUGAGGAGGAUGUCUAUUGGGUCGUGGAGCGAAUAGCUGUUGAUUAUUUAACUUACGAAUAGUUGUUGAUUAUUUAACUUACUACUAGUUGUUGAUUAUUUAACUUACUACGGAGCUUUUUUAUGUUUUAAUACGAUACCAUUUCUUAUCUUUCUUAAGUGCUCGAGUGGAAUGGUUGUAGUCUCUCUCAUUUGUUCCAGGAAAGUACAUGUGUCAGCCGUGGCCUUUGUCUAAGCAAGAGCAGUACUCAAUCUUCUUGUUAUGGGAAUUUCUCCACUGAUUUCUUAAUUCUUGAAUUUGUUAUCCAUCUUAUUGUCUAGAUCUUUCAUCUUUUACUCGGAUUGAUUAUAUUUUUCUUGAAUUCAUUGGCAUUUCAGGGAAACUAAGAGAUGAAGUGUGUGCAAGGUAUGCAAAUAGAGGGUGGUUUGCAGGUUUUAGAAACAGAGUGGAUGGACAUUUGGUGAAACCUUUAGUUUCAUUGUCUUUGCAUUCAUUAUUUUUUUGUCGUCGUUCUUCAAGCUAAACUUGUGUAGUAAGAUAUGCUAUAAAUACGCACUAUAUGAGUGAGAGGCUUUGACAUGUCUGUUGUUUGACUGUUGACUCUGUUUAUGUUGAUUGUCUUCUUCUAGUCGUGUUGCAGCAAUGAGGAUGUCUGUUGGAUUGUGGAGGCAAAAGUUGUAAAUUUUUGAACUUGCUACAAAGCUUUAAGUUUGAUUACGUUCCAUUUAUUAUAAUUCUUUUGAGCUCGUUUUCGAAUGGUUGUAGUUUCUUUUAUUGGUGGUCGCAGGUACAUGUGUCAGUAAUGAUGUUUGUCUAAGCAAAUGCAAUACUUGAUCACAUAACAUUAUGAUCAUCAAGCCUGUUAAGGAAAUUUCUCAAUUGGUUUUUCUAAUUCUUGAAUUUGUUUAUUCAUCUUAUCGUCUAUGUCCUUCCUCUUUUACGUUGAUUGAUUGUAGUUUGUUAAAUUUGUGGGCUUUACGUUUCUUAAAUUCAUGGGCUUUGGGCUUUACAGGAAAACUAAGAAAUGAAAUGGGUGCAGGGAGUGCAAAUGGUGGGUGGUGGACAACUUUUGGAAACAGUGUAUGGGAUCUGCAAAGAGGAUGUCUAUUGGGUUGUGGAGCCAACAACUCUAGAUUAUUUAACUUGCUAGGAAGCUUUAUGUUUUAUUAUGAUUGAAUUUACUAUUUCUUACGUGUUCGAGUUGGAAUGGGUGUAGUCUCUCAUAUUUGUUGUAGGAAGGUACAUGUGUAAGCCAUGAUGUUUGUCUAAGCAAGAGCAAUACAACUGAACAUAGUUUUAUUA
Long non-coding RNA from Vigna unguiculata (cowpea), 1817 nucleotides. NCBI's taxonomy places the organism in Eukaryota, Viridiplantae, Streptophyta, Magnoliopsida, Fabales, Fabaceae. The record is from RefSeq and is a predicted model, not a curated record.